UACAGAGGUCCCGAGCGUUGUUCGGAUUCAUUGGGCGUAAAGGGUGCGUAGGCGGCGGGGUAAGUCAGGUGUGAAAUCUCGGGGCUCAACCCCGAAACUGCACUUGAUACUGCCUCGCUUGAGUUCGGGAGAGGGAAGCGGAAUUCCGGGUGUAGCGGUGAAAUGCGUAGAUAUCCGGAGGAACACCGGUGGCGAAGGCGGCUUCCUGGACCGACACUGACGCUGAGGCGCGAAAGCUAGGGGAGCAAACGGG
Molecule: ribosomal RNA, 253 nt
Filed under: uncultured prokaryote
Description: partial 16S ribosomal RNA
Rfam family: Bacterial small subunit ribosomal RNA
Source: RNAcentral